UACGUAGGGGGCAAGCGUUGUCCGGAAUCAUUGGGCGUAAAGAGCGUGUAGGCGGCCCGGUAAGUCCGCUGUGAAAGUCCAGGGCUCAACCCUGGGAUGCCGGUGGAUACUGUCGGGCUCGAGUCCGGAAGAGGAGUGUGGAACUCCUGGUGUAGCGGUGAAAUGCGCAGAUAUCAGGAGGAACACCAAUGGCGAAGGCAGCACUCUGGGACGUGACUGACGCUGAGACGCGAAAGCGUGGGGAGCAAACAGG
Molecule: ribosomal RNA, 253 nt
Filed under: uncultured bacterium
Lineage: Bacteria
Description: partial 16S ribosomal RNA
Rfam family: Bacterial small subunit ribosomal RNA
Source: RNAcentral